This 250-nucleotide ribosomal RNA is filed under the name uncultured bacterium. RNAcentral describes it as "partial 16S ribosomal RNA". It matches the Rfam family "Bacterial small subunit ribosomal RNA", at positions 524 to 776 of the family's 1533-position model. The record is from RNAcentral.
UACGAGGGGGGCGAGCGUUGUUCGGAAUUAUUGGGCGUAAAGGGUGCGUAGGCGGCCUGACAAGUCUGAUGUGAAAUCCCUGGGCUCAACCCAGGCUGCAUCCGAAACUGGAGUGCUAGAGUUCUGGAGGGGGUAGCGGAAUUCCUGGUGUAGCGGUGAAAUGCGUAGAUAUCAGGAGGAACACCGGUGGCGAAGGCGGCUACCUGGACAGAAACUGACGUGAGGCGCGAAAGCUAGGGGAGCAAACAGG